GCGGGUGUAGUUCAAUGGUAGAACAUCAGCUUCCCAAGCUGAGAACGCAGGUUCGAUUCCCGUCACCCGCUCCA
This 74-nucleotide transfer RNA is filed under the name Verrucomicrobiia bacterium. Its description in RNAcentral is "tRNA-Gly". It matches the Rfam family "tRNA". Rfam says of the family: Transfer RNA (tRNA) molecules are approximately 80 nucleotides in length. The record is from RNAcentral. Lineage: Bacteria; Pseudomonadati; Verrucomicrobiota; Verrucomicrobiia.